GGAGAUCGAGCUCCAUGGGAGCCAAAACCCUAACAAGACUAAAUCACCAAAUUGAAGGGUUUAUUAUGGCUCAAAUUCAAGAAAGAACAUGGAUUAAUGAUCACCUAAGUAUUUCCUACAUCAAUGAGGUGUAGAUGAUAAGCAUCAUGUCAAGAGGAUGCAAGCACAAAUGGCAAUCGGGUCAAGAGGAAACAAGGAAACGGUCACGAAUACGGACGCUUAAGGUAGUACGAAUCACAGAUUUUUCAUUCCAAGAGUAGCGAUCAAAGACCGAGUCACUAGUCGGAUUGUACGGGAAUACUUGAUUAUGUAAAAUGAUAGUUAUAGUGUAUGUUUCUGUUAUGUAAAUGAGUACAAAAGCUAGUCUUGUUGUAAGAAAGUAUUUUAUAAUGAAUUUGCAAGUAGGGCAAAAACGUGUUCAUUGAAAGAAAUUUUUAUGGAACGA
Molecule: long non-coding RNA, 445 nt
Organism: Helianthus annuus (common sunflower)
Lineage: Eukaryota; Viridiplantae; Streptophyta; Magnoliopsida; Asterales; Asteraceae
Exons: 3
Source: RefSeq, a predicted model, not a curated record